RNAcentral lists this ribosomal RNA (774 nucleotides) under uncultured bacterium. RNAcentral's name for it is "bacterial SSU rRNA". It matches the Rfam family "Bacterial small subunit ribosomal RNA", at positions 8 to 796 of the family's 1533-position model. The record is from RNAcentral.
AGAGUUUGAUCAUGGCUCAGGACGAACGCUGGCGGCGUGCUUAACACAUGCAAGUCGAGCGAGGCCCGCCUUUCGGGGUGGUGCCCUAGCGGCGAACGGGUGAGUAACACGUGGGCAACCUGCCCUCAGCUUUGGGAUAAGCCUCGGAAACGGGGUCUAAUACCGGAUAUGACCACGUACUGCAUGGUGUGUGGUGGAAAGAUUUAUCGGCUGGGGAUGGGCCCGCGGCCUAUCAGCUUGUUGGUGGGGUGAUGGCCUACCAAGGCGACGACGGGUAGCCGGCCUGAGAGGGCGACCGGCCACACUGGGACUGAGACACGGCCCAGACUCCUACGGGAGGCAGCAGUGGGGAAUAUUGCACAAUGGGCGAAAGCCUGAUGCAGCGACGCCGCGUGAGGGAUGACGGCCUUCGGGUUGUAAACCUCUUUCAGCAGGGACGAAGCGAGAGUGACGGUACCUGCAGAAGAAGCACCGGCCAACUACGUGCCAGCAGCCGCGGUAAUACGUAGGGUGCAAGCGUUGUCCGGAAUUAUUGGGCGUAAAGAGCUCGUAGGCGGUUUGUCACGUCGGCUGUGAAACCCUGGGGCUCAACCCCGGGCCUGCAGCCGAUACGGGCUGACUAGAAUUCGGUAGGGGAGUCUGGAAUUCCUGGUGUAGCGGUGAAAUGCGCGAUAUCAGGAGGAACACCGGUGGCGAAGGCGGGACUCUGGGCCGAUAUUGACGCUGAGGAGCGAAAGCGUGGGGAGCGAACAGGAUUAGAUACCCUAGUAGUCC